GACGAACGCUGGCGGCGUGCUUAACACAUGCAAGUCGAACGGAAAGGCCCUGCUUUUGUGGGGUGCUCGAGUGGCGAACGGGUGAGUAACACGUGAGUAACCUGCCCUUGACUUUGGGAUAACUUCAGGAAACUGGGGCUAAUACCGGCUAGGAGCUCCUGCUGCAUGGUGGGGGUUGGAAAGUUUCGGCGGUUGGGGAUGGACUCGCGGCUUAUCAGCUUGUUGGUGGGGUAGUGGCUUACCAAGGCUUUGACGGGUAGCCGGCCUGAGAGGGUGACCGGGCACAUUGGGACUGAGAUACGGCCCAGACUCCGACGGGAGGCAGAAGUGGGGAAGAUGACACAAUGGGCGGAAGCCUGAUGCAGCAACGCCGCGUGCGGGAUGUCGGCCAUCGGGUUGUAAACCGCUUUCGCCUGUGACGAAGCGGGAGUGACGGUAAUGGGUAAAGAAGCACCGGCUAACUACGUG
This 468-nucleotide ribosomal RNA is filed under the name uncultured bacterium. RNAcentral's name for it is "partial 16S ribosomal RNA". It matches the Rfam family "Bacterial small subunit ribosomal RNA", at positions 28 to 507 of the family's 1533-position model. The record is from RNAcentral.